GCCUAGUUAGCUUGGAAAUAGCGUCUGCCUUGUAAGCGCUAGGUCGCGGGUUCGAUUCCCGAAUGGGGCG
RNAcentral lists this transfer RNA (70 nucleotides) under Diaphorina citri (Asian citrus psyllid). It matches the Rfam family "tRNA". Rfam says of the family: Transfer RNA (tRNA) molecules are approximately 80 nucleotides in length. Their secondary structure includes four short double-helical elements and three loops (D, anti-codon, and T loops). Lineage: Eukaryota; Metazoa; Arthropoda; Insecta; Hemiptera; Psyllidae. The record is from Rfam by way of RNAcentral.